UACGUAGGGGGCGAGCGUUGUCCGGAUUUAUUGGGCGGAAAGCGCGUGUAGGCGGCCAGAUAGGUCUGCUGUGAAAACUCGAGGCUCAACCUCGAGAUGUCGGCGGAAACCGUCUGGCUAGAGUCCGGAAGAGGAGAGUGGAAUUCCUGGUGUAGCGGUGAAAUGCGCAGAUAUCAGGAAGAACACCUAUGGCGAAGGCAGCUCUCUGGGACGGUACUGACGCUGAGACGCGAAAGCGUGGGGAGCGAACAGG
RNAcentral lists this ribosomal RNA (253 nucleotides) under uncultured bacterium. RNAcentral's name for it is "partial 16S ribosomal RNA". It matches the Rfam family "Bacterial small subunit ribosomal RNA", at positions 524 to 776 of the family's 1533-position model. The record is from RNAcentral.